Molecule: ribosomal RNA, 403 nt
Filed under: bacterium
Lineage: Bacteria
Description: partial 16S ribosomal RNA
Rfam family: Bacterial small subunit ribosomal RNA
Source: RNAcentral
UGGGGAAUAUUGCACAAUGGAGGGAACUCUGAUGCAGCGACGCCGCGUGAACGAAGAAGGCUUUCGAGUCGUAAAGUUCUUUUAUAUGGGAAGAUAAUGACGGUACCAUAAGAAGAAGCCCCGGCUAACUACGUGCCAGCAGCCACGGUAAUACGUAGGGGGCUAGCGUUGUCCGGAAUCACUGGGAGUAAAGGGUUCGCAGGCGGAAAUGCAAGUCAGGUGUAAAAGGCAGUAGCUUAACUACUGUAAGCAUUUGAAACUGCAUAUCUUGAGAAGAGUAGAGGUAAGUGGAAUUUUUAGUGUAGCGGUGAAAUGCGUAGAUAUUAAAAAGAAUACCGGUGGCGAAGGCGACUUACUGGGCUCAUUCUGACGCUGAGGAACGAAAGCGUGGGUAGCAAACAGG